RNAcentral lists this ribosomal RNA (253 nucleotides) under uncultured bacterium. RNAcentral's name for it is "partial 16S ribosomal RNA". It matches the Rfam family "Bacterial small subunit ribosomal RNA", at positions 524 to 776 of the family's 1533-position model. The record is from RNAcentral.
UACAGAGGGUGCGAGCGUUGUCCGGAAUCACUGGGCGUAAAGCGUGCGCAGGCGGUUCGCCAAGUCAGGUGUGAAAUCCCCGGGCUUAACCUGGGAAUUGCGCUUGAAACUAGCGGGCUUGAGUGCGGCAGAGGGGGGUGGAAUUCCACGUGUAGCAGUGAAAUGCGUAGAGAUGUGGAGGAACACCGAUGGCGAAGGCAGCGCCCUGGGUCGACACUGACGCUCAUGCACGAAAGCGUGGGGAGCAAACAGG